This 481-nucleotide ribosomal RNA is filed under the name uncultured bacterium. RNAcentral describes it as "bacterial SSU rRNA". It matches the Rfam family "Bacterial small subunit ribosomal RNA", at positions 791 to 1268 of the family's 1533-position model. The record is from RNAcentral.
UAGUCCACACCGUAAACGCUGUCUACUAGCUGUUUGUGGCUUUAAGCCGUGAGUAGCGAAGCUAACGCGAUAAGUAGACCGCCUGGGGAGUACGGCCGCAAGGUUAAAACUCAAAUGAAUUGACGGGGGCCCGCACAAGCGGUGGAGCAUGUGGUUUAAUUCGAUGCAACGCGAAGAACCUUACCUACACUUGACAUGUUGAGAAGUUACCAGAGAUGGUUUCGUGCCUUCGGGAACUCAAACACAGGUGCUGCAUGGCUGUCGUCAGCUCGUGUCGUGAGAUGUUGGGUUAAGUCCCGCAACGAGCGCAACCCUUGUCCUUAGUUGCCAGCAUUCAGUUGGGCACUCUAAGGAGACUGCCGGUGACAAACCGGGNGGAAGGUGGGGACGACGUCAAGUCAUCAUGGCCCUUACGUGUAGGGGCUACACACGUGCUACAAUGGGCAUAUACAGAGGGGAUGCGAGACAGUGAUGUGGGAGC